GAGACUAGGGAUAGUAAACUAGUAAUUAUGGUAAUAGGUUAUUUUCGCCGAGGGAUCGGGUUUAGAGUAAUUUAGAAAGUUGCAUGAACAUUGAUAAUAAAGCGAAUUUAAUAAGGCUAGUUUGAGUCGUCCUCCACCGUAUCUUUCGGUCUAUCUUCCCUGUUCCUCAAAGACUUAUGAGUAAAAACACCACUGAACCUCAUAACCGACACUAUACUCAGC
RNAcentral lists this long non-coding RNA (222 nucleotides) under Vigna radiata. RNAcentral describes it as "long non-coding RNA (VRAD_LNC017489)". Lineage: Eukaryota; Viridiplantae; Streptophyta; Magnoliopsida; Fabales; Fabaceae. The record is from RNAcentral.